RNAcentral lists this ribosomal RNA (859 nucleotides) under Pseudoalteromonas nigrifaciens. Its description in RNAcentral is "bacterial SSU rRNA". It matches the Rfam family "Bacterial small subunit ribosomal RNA", at positions 18 to 873 of the family's 1533-position model. The record is from RNAcentral. Lineage: Bacteria; Pseudomonadati; Pseudomonadota; Gammaproteobacteria; Alteromonadales; Pseudoalteromonadaceae.
CAUGGCUCAGAUUGAACGCUGGCGGCAGGCCUAACACAUGCAAGUCGAGCGGUAACAGAAAGUAGCUUGCUACUUUGCUGACGAGCGGCGGACGGGUGAGUAAUGCUUGGGAACAUGCCUUGAGGUGGGGGACAACAGUUGGAAACGACUGCUAAUACCGCAUAAUGUCUACGGACCAAAGGGGGCUUCGGCUCUCGCCUUUAGAUUGGCCCAAGUGGGAUUAGCUAGUUGGUGAGGUAAUGGCUCACCAAGGCGACGAUCCCUAGCUGGUUUGAGAGGAUGAUCAGCCACACUGGGACUGAGACACGGCCCAGACUCCUACGGGAGGCAGCAGUGGGGAAUAUUGCACAAUGGGCGCAAGCCUGAUGCAGCCAUGCCGCGUGUGUGAAGAAGGCCUUCGGGUUGUAAAGCACUUUCAGUCAGGAGGAAAGGUUAGUAGUUAAUACCUGCUAGCUGUGACGUUACUGACAGAAGAAGCACCGGCUAACUCCGUGCCAGCAGCCGCGGUAAUACGGAGGGUGCGAGCGUUAAUCGGAAUUACUGGGCGUAAAGCGUACGCAGGCGGUUUGUUAAGCGAGAUGUGAAAGCCCCGGGCUCAACCUGGGAACUGCAUUUCGAACUGGCAAACUAGAGUGUGAUAGAGGGUGGUAGAAUUUCAGGUGUAGCGGUGAAAUGCGUAGAGAUCUGAAGGAAUACCGAUGGCGAAGGCAGCCACCUGGGUCAACACUGACGCUCAUGUACGAAAGCGUGGGGAGCAAACGGGAUUAGAUACCCCGGUAGUCCACGCCGUAAACGAUGUCUACUAGAAGCUCGGAGCCUCGGUUCUGUUUUUCAAAGCUAACGCAUUAAGUAGACCGCC